UAAAAUUUAUAAAAUUAGGUAAUAAAGAAAUUUCUGAAACCUAAAGAAUUUGGCGGUAUUUUAAAUAAUUGGAGGAACCUGUUAUUUAAUUGACAACCCACAACAUAUCUUACCUAAAUUUUAUUUGUAUAUCGUCGUUUUGAUAAUAUUAAAAAAUUAUAAUCAAUGCUAAAAAUUUUUCAAAAAUCAGAUCAAGGUGCAGUAUAUUUAGGGUAUAAUGGGUUACAAUAUAAUUAUAUAAAAUGGAUAUAAAAUUGAAAUUAUAUUGAAAGUGGAUUCAAAAGUAAUAUUAAAUUAAAAUGUUAAUAUGAUUAAAAAUUUAAAAUAUGC
RNAcentral lists this ribosomal RNA (330 nucleotides) under Chihuahuanus bilineatus. RNAcentral's name for it is "partial 12S ribosomal RNA". Lineage: Eukaryota; Metazoa; Arthropoda; Arachnida; Scorpiones; Vaejovidae. The record is from RNAcentral.